CCUACGGGUGGCUGCAGUGGGGAAUAUUGCACAAUGGGCGAAAGCCUGAUGCAGCGACGCCGCGUGAGGGAUGACGGCCUUCGGGUUGUAAACCUCUUUCGACAGGGACGAAGCGCAAGUGACGGUACCUGUAGAAGAAGCACCGGCCAACUACGUGCCAGCAGCCGCGGUAAUACGUAGGGUGCGAGCGUUGUCCGGAAUUACUGGGCGUAAAGAGCUUGUAGGCGGUUUGUCGCGUCGUCCGUGAAAACUUGGGGCUCAACCCCAAGCUUGCGGGCGAUACGGGCAGACUUGAGUACGGCAGGGGAGACUGGAAUUCCUGGUGUAGCGGUGAAAUGCGCAGAUAUCAGGAGGAACACCGGUGGCGAAGGCGGGUCUCUGGGCAGUAACUGACGCUGAGAAGCGAAAGCGUGGGUAGCGAACAGGAUUAGAUACCCCAGUAGUCA
Molecule: ribosomal RNA, 446 nt
Filed under: uncultured Nocardia sp.
Lineage: Bacteria; Bacillati; Actinomycetota; Actinomycetes; Mycobacteriales; Nocardiaceae
Description: bacterial SSU rRNA
Rfam family: Bacterial small subunit ribosomal RNA
Source: RNAcentral